Long non-coding RNA from Dipodomys ordii (Ord's kangaroo rat), 410 nucleotides. RefSeq lists it as uncharacterized. NCBI's taxonomy places the organism in Eukaryota, Metazoa, Chordata, Mammalia, Rodentia, Heteromyidae. The transcript is spliced from 4 exons. The record is from RefSeq and is a predicted model, not a curated record.
AAACGUUCUGCACUGUCAGCUGCUGCUGCCCUGUGAGAAGGACAGAGAAGGACACAACUCAGGGCAGGAAGCCUGAAACCUCAGGAACAAGGACUCCUUGGGGACAGAGGUGAUUUUCAGGGUUGGAGCAGGGAAGACGGAAGAGCCUGGAACAACUGCUGUAUUGGGAAGUAAGGAAAUACAGCAUGGAAGACCUGGCUUAUGUCUUGCCUCCAUCAACUCAAGAUGUGGGACUUCACAGAAAGGAAGGCAACACUGCAGCCAUCUGCACACCUGAACAGGAAAAGUUGGCUGAAAUAAGACUGAAAGAGUGGUUCAGAUGGUACAGCACCUGCCUACCAAGCAAGCAUGACACCCUGAAAUCAAACCCAGUACCACCAGAAGUUUCCUGAAACAAAAUUUGUACUUAC